GUGCUCGCUUCGGCAGAACAUAUACUAAAAUUGGAACGAUGCAGAGAAGAUUAACAUGGCCCUUGCGCAAUGAUGACACGCAAAUUUGUGAAGCAUUCAAAUUAAGU
RNAcentral lists this small nuclear RNA (107 nucleotides) under Propithecus coquereli (Coquerel's sifaka). Lineage: Eukaryota; Metazoa; Chordata; Mammalia; Primates; Indriidae. The record is from RNAcentral.